GAUGAACGCUGGCGGCGUGCCUAAUACAUGCAAGUCGAGCGAACGGACGAGAAGCUUGCUUCUCUGAUGUUAGCGGCGGACGGGUGAGUAACACGUGGAUAACCUACCUAUAAGACUGGGAUAACUUCGGGAAACCGGAGCUAAUACCGGAUAAUAUUUUGAACCGCAUGGUUCAAAAGUGAAAGACGGUCUUGCUGUCACUUAUAGAUGGAUCCGCGCUGCAUUAGCUAGUUGGUAAGGUAACGGCUUACCAAGGCAACGAUGCAUAGCCGACCUGAGAGGGUGAUCGGCCACACUGGAACUGAGACACGGUCCAGACUCCUACGGGAGGCAGCAGUAGGGAAUCUUCCGCAAUGGGCGAAAGCCUGACGGAGCAACGCCGCGUGAGUGAUGAAGGUCUUCGGAUCGUAAAACUCUGUUAUUAGGGAAGAACAUAUGUGUAGGUAACUGUGCACAUCUUGACGGUACCUAAUCAGAAAGCCACGGCUAACUACGUGCCAGCAGCCGCGGUAAUACGUAGGUGGCAAGCGUUAUCCGGAAUUAUUGGGCGUAAAGGCGCGCGUAGGCGGUUUUUUAAGUCUGAUGUGAAAGCCCACGGCUCAACCGUGGAGGGUCAUUGGAAACUGGAAAACUUGAGUGCAGAAGAGGAAAGUGGAAUUCCAUGUGUAGCGGUGAAAUGCGCAGAGAUAUGGAGGAACACCAGUGGCGAAGGCGACUUUCUGGUCUGUAACUGACGCUGAUGUGCGAAAGCGUGGGGAUCAAACAGGAUUAGAUACCCUGGUAGUCCACGCCGUAAACGAUGAGUGCUAAGUGUCAGGGGGUUUCCGCCCCUUAGUGCUGCAGCUAACGCGUUAAGCACUCCGCCUGGGGAGUACGACCGCAAGGUUGAAACUCAAAGGAAUUGACGGGGACCCGCACAAGCGGUGGAGCAUGUGGUUUAAUUCGAAGCAACGCGAAGAACCUUACCAAAUCUUGACAUCCUUUGACAACUCUAGAGAUAGAGCUUUCCCCUUCGGGGGGCAAAGUGACAGGUGGUGCAUGGUUGUCGUCAGCUCGUGUCGUGAGAUGUUGGGUUAAGCCCCGCAACGAGCGCAACCCUUAAGCUUAGUUGCCAUCAUUAAGUUGGGCACUCUAAGUUGACUGCCGGUGACAAACCGGAGGAAGGUGGGGAUGACGUCAAAUCAUCAUGCCCCUUAUGAUUUGGGCUACACACGUGCUACAAUGGACAAUACAAAGGGCAGCGAAACCGUGAGGUCAAGCAAAUCCCAUAAAGUUGUUCUCAGUUCGGAUUGUAGUCUGCAACUCGACUACAUGAAGCUGGAAUCGCUAGUAAUCGUAGAUCAGCAUGCUACGGUGAAUACGUUCCCGGGUCU
This 1373-nucleotide ribosomal RNA is filed under the name uncultured bacterium. Its description in RNAcentral is "bacterial SSU rRNA". It matches the Rfam family "Bacterial small subunit ribosomal RNA", at positions 28 to 1381 of the family's 1533-position model. The record is from RNAcentral.